CCUACGGGAGGCAGCAGUGAGGAAUAUUGGUCAAUGGGCGCGAGCCUGAACCAGCCAAGUAGCGUGAAGGAUGACUGCCCUACGGGUUGUAAACUUCUUUUAUAAAGGAAUACAGUCAGGAACGUGUGCCUUUUUGUAUUUACUUUAUGAAUAAGGAUCGGCUAACUCCGUGCCAACAGCCGCGGUAAUACGGAGGAUCCGAGCGUUCGCCGGAUUUAUUGGGUUUAAAGGGAGCGUAGAUGGGUUGUUAAGUCAGUUGGGAAAGUGUACGGGUCAAACCUAAAAGUGCAAUUGAUACUGGCAGCAUUGAGUACAGGUGAGGUAGGCGGAAUUCGUGGUGUAGCGGUGAAAUGCAUAGAUAUCACGAAGAACUCCGAUUGCGAAGGCAGCAUACUAAACUGCCACUGACAUUGAUGCUCGAAAGUGUGGGUAUCAAACAGGAUUAGAUACCCUUGUAGUC
RNAcentral lists this ribosomal RNA (460 nucleotides) under uncultured bacterium. RNAcentral's name for it is "partial 16S ribosomal RNA". It matches the Rfam family "Bacterial small subunit ribosomal RNA", at positions 338 to 795 of the family's 1533-position model. The record is from RNAcentral.